UACGUAGGGGGCAAGCGUUGUCCGGAUUUAUUGGGCGUAAAGAGCGUGUAGGCGGCCAGACAGGUCCGUUGUGAAAACUCGAGGCUCAACCUCGAGACGCCGGUUGAAACCAUCUGGCUAGAGUCCGGAAGAGGAGAGUGGAAUUCCUGGUGUAGCGGUGAAAUGCGCAGAUAUCAGGAAGAACACCCGUGGCUAAGGCGGCUCUCUAGUACGGUACUGACGCUGAGACGCGAAAGCGUGGGGAGCGAACAGG
This 253-nucleotide ribosomal RNA is filed under the name uncultured bacterium. RNAcentral's name for it is "partial 16S ribosomal RNA". It matches the Rfam family "Bacterial small subunit ribosomal RNA", at positions 524 to 776 of the family's 1533-position model. The record is from RNAcentral.